This 497-nucleotide ribosomal RNA is filed under the name uncultured bacterium. RNAcentral's name for it is "partial 16S ribosomal RNA". It matches the Rfam family "Bacterial small subunit ribosomal RNA", at positions 28 to 507 of the family's 1533-position model. The record is from RNAcentral.
GAUGAACGCUGGCGGCGUGCCUAAUACAUGCAAGUAGAACGCUGAAGGAAGGAGCUUGCUCUUUCCGGAUGAGUUGCGAACGUGUGAGUAACGCGUAGGUAACCUGCCUGGUAGCGGGGGAUAACUAUUGGAAACGAUAGCUAAUACCGCAUAACAGUAGAUGUUGCAUGAUAUCUACUUAAAAGGUGCAAUUGCACCACUACCAGAUGGACCUGCGUUGUAUUAGCUAGUUGGUGAGGUAACGGCUCACCAAGGCGACGAUACAUAGCCGACCUGAGAGGGUGAUCGGCCACACUGGGACUGAGACACGGCCCAGACUCCUACGGGAGGCAGCAGUAGGGAAUCUUCGGCAAUGGACGGAAGUCUGACCGAGCAACGCCGCGUGAGUGAAGAAGGUUUUCGGAUCGUAAAGCUCUGUUGUAAGAGAAGAACGAGUGUGAGAGUGGAAAGUUCACACUGUGACGGUAUCUUACCAGAAAGGGACGGCUAACUACGUG